CUUGUAUGUUGUAUUUAAAGGGUAAUUAUGGUUGCAAACUUUAUUUGAAAUUCGAAUUGAGUAUAUGACUUUGACUUAAGGGAAUGUUUUUUUUUUUAAAUAAGGGAAAGGUGAAAAAAAUUGGGGAGGGAGGACUAUUUUUUCUUAUUUCAGAUUUCAGAAAUUAAAAAGAAAAUUUCUUCAAAGAUUUUUUUUGGGGUUAAUAUUCAACAGGACAGUGUAUUGCACAAAUGCAAAAAAACGAGGUCAAUUUUAUUUAGGAGGUCAAUUCGCAACAGCAUAGUGUAUUGCACAAAAGCAAAGCAUUGAAUAUGAAUUCAAAUCACAUAACCAAUUUUUACUUUCUUUGACUACAGUUAUUCUAUGACAAAUGUGUCAAAUAUUUGAUAACAAUCCAAAUUCAAACCUGUAUCAAGCGUAAAUAUUGUGUCCAUUAUUGCCCCAACGUUUCAGGGGUGGACAUCUGCAGUCGUAUCCAGCUGUGCUCAGCGAAGCAAUUUAUUUUUUACUAGAUACCUUAAUGAUGAUUAUAAUCAAGUUUGGUUCAAUUUGUCUCAGUAGUUUCAGCAAAGAUUUUUGUAAAAGGUUACAACAGUUUACAAAACAAUGUUAACAAUUGACUAUGAGGGC
Molecule: long non-coding RNA, 630 nt
Filed under: Mytilus galloprovincialis (Mediterranean mussel)
Lineage: Eukaryota; Metazoa; Mollusca; Bivalvia; Mytilida; Mytilidae
Source: RNAcentral